AAUAUUGGACAAUGGGGGCAACCCUGAUCCAGCCAUGCCGCGUGUGUGAAGAAGGUCUUCGGAUUGUAACGCACUUUAAGUUGGGGGGAAGGGCUUUAGUUUAUUACCUUGAAUUUUUGCGUUAACAACCGAAUAAGGCCCGGCCUACCCUUUGCCAGCAGCCGCGGUAAUACAGAGGGUGCAAGCGUUAAUCGGAAUUACUGGGCGUAAAGCGCGCGUAGGUGGUUCAGUAAGAUGGGUGUGAAAUCCCCGGGCUUAACCUGGGAACUGCUUUCAUAACUGCUGAGCUAGAGUACGGUAGAGGGUAGUGGAAUUUCCUGUGUAGCGGUGAAAUGCGUAGAUAUAGGAAGGAACACCAGUGGCGAAGGCGACUACCUGGACUGAUACUGACACUGAGGUGCGAAAGCGUGGGGAGCAAACA
This 421-nucleotide ribosomal RNA is filed under the name uncultured bacterium. RNAcentral describes it as "partial 16S ribosomal RNA". It matches the Rfam family "Bacterial small subunit ribosomal RNA", at positions 360 to 774 of the family's 1533-position model. The record is from RNAcentral.